Molecule: ribosomal RNA, 125 nt
Filed under: Isoetes cubana
Lineage: Eukaryota; Viridiplantae; Streptophyta; Lycopodiopsida; Isoetales; Isoetaceae
Description: 5.8S ribosomal RNA
Rfam family: 5.8S ribosomal RNA
About the family: 5.8S ribosomal RNA (5.8S rRNA) is a component of the large subunit of the eukaryotic ribosome. It is transcribed by RNA polymerase I as part of the 45S precursor that also contains 18S and 28S rRNA.
Source: RNAcentral
GCCACGAUGAAGAACGCAGCGAAAUGCGAUACGUGAUGUGAAUUGCAGAACUCCGUGAAUCAUUGAAUCUUUGAACGCAACUUGCGCCCGGGGCUUGUCCGAGGGCAUGUCUGACUGAGCGUCUA